RNAcentral lists this unclassified non-coding RNA (263 nucleotides) under plant metagenome. Its description in RNAcentral is "partial contains small subunit ribosomal RNA, internal transcribed spacer 1, and 5.8S ribosomal RNA". The record is from RNAcentral.
UUUCCGUAGGUGAACCCGCGGAAGGAUCAUUAUUGGAUAACCGAGGUGCGAGGGCUGUCGCUGACCCGAAAGGUCGUGCACGCCCGAGUGCCCUCACACACAUCCAUCUCACCCCUAUGUGCACCACCGCGUGGGUCCCCCUUUGGCUUGUUCGGAGGGGGGCUUACGUUUUCACACAAACUUUGUAUGCAGUGUAGAAUGUAUUUUUUGUUUUUGCGAUCACGCAAUCAAUACAACUUUCAACAACGGAUCUCUUGGCUCUC